This 493-nucleotide ribosomal RNA is filed under the name uncultured bacterium. Its description in RNAcentral is "partial 16S ribosomal RNA". It matches the Rfam family "Bacterial small subunit ribosomal RNA", at positions 28 to 506 of the family's 1533-position model. The record is from RNAcentral.
GACGAACGCUGGCGGCGUGCUUAACACAUGCAAGUCGAACGGUGAAGCGCCUUCCUUUUUGGUGGGUGUGGAUGAGUGGCGAACGGGUGAGUAACACGUGAGUAACCUGCCCCCUUCUUCUGGAUAACCGCAUGAAAGUGUGGCUAAUACGGGAUAUUCUGGGUCUGUCGCAUGAUGGGUCUGGGAAAGAUAUUGUUUCGGUGGGGGAUGGGCUCGCGGCCUAUCAGCUUGUUGGUGGGGUGAUGGCCUACCAAGGCGGUGACGGGUAGCCGGCCUGAGAGGGUGGACGGUCACACUGGGACUGAGACACGGCCCAGCCUCCUACGGGAGGCAGCAGUGGGGAAUAUUGCACAAUGGGCGCAAGCCUGAUGCAGCGACGCCGCGUGAGGGAUGGAGGCCUUCGGGUUGUGAACCUCUUUCGCCAGUGAAGCAGGCCUGCCUCGUUUGUGGGUGGGUUGACGGUAGCUGGAUAAGAAGCGCCGGCUAACUACGU